Molecule: long non-coding RNA, 458 nt
Organism: Neltuma alba
Lineage: Eukaryota; Viridiplantae; Streptophyta; Magnoliopsida; Fabales; Fabaceae
Exons: 2
Source: RefSeq, a predicted model, not a curated record
UUAUCCCCAGGUUUUGAAUCAAAUUGUAUAUGAACUUCCUGCUGAACAUCCUCUAGCUGAAAUCAGACCACUUCGUGAACUUCUUGGGCAUACCCCUCCUCAGGUGGUUGCUGGUAUGUUACUUGGAAUCCUUACAGCAGCUAUUGGCCAUCUACUGACCAUGAUCAAAUAAUGGCGAUGCUUCUUACGGUUGAAUUAUGGUUAAUUUCUGUUCAUACCAUAGCACAGAAAUUUAAACUACCAUUAUGCGGUCUUACACUUAACCCCAGAAAUAUAGCACUCUUGCUGUUAGUGCUCGUUCUAAAGGUGCCUUCAGUGUUCUUCGUGCACUUGACCUUGCUCAUCUCAGAAGUAGAAUUAAAAAAGUGUAUCUGAUCUGAUUGGAUUAGUUUAUGUAACGGAACUAACUGUCCAAACAUAUUAUUCUUUCCACCGAGAUGAGAUGGCUUUUAAGUAAA